This 545-nucleotide long non-coding RNA is filed under the name Homo sapiens (human). RNAcentral's name for it is "HSALNT0398663". Lineage: Eukaryota; Metazoa; Chordata; Mammalia; Primates; Hominidae. The record is from RNAcentral.
GGGGCGGCGCAAGGGGCAAGGGCAGGGGCAGGGCGCGGACAACUGUGGGGAUGGGCGGGCAAAUGGCGGGGAUGGGCGGGGACAAUGGCGGGAUGGGCGGGGACAAUGGCGGGAUGGGCGGGGCCUAGGGGUCGGACUGCCGGACCUCUCCUCGGCGCGUCCCAGCGACUUUUUUAGGCCUGUUUGUCGCCCAGCAGUACUCGAUUCUUCACUUUUGGAUUCCCUUGAAUCUCUAUGGUGUCCUUUGGAGCCUAGCUAAGGGGAAGAAAUCGUCAUAAGUGAAAGGUUAUUUUCCAUGAAAAUGUGGCCCACAACUCGUGUUGCCAUGCAGAACCUUCUGCUUACUCAAUAUUGAGUGCUGGAAAAUGACAGAAUGGCCUCUGUGGACCUGAAAAUUGGAAUGAUCUUCCUAUUUGUGGGCAGCAAGCCACCCAGCUGCCGAGGCAAGAGACCGAGGGCACGAGCUGUUCCAGCAUAAUAAAAUAUAUAAAACAACAAGAGUUAUAUUAGAUCUAGAUCAUAGACAUGAUUAUAUAUGAAUAUCA